CCUACGGGAGGCAGCAGUGGGGAAUAUUGGGCAAUGGGCGCAAGCCUGACCCAGCAACGCCGCGUGAGGGAAGAAGGCUUUCGGGUUGUAAACUUCUUUUCUCAGGGACGAAGAGACUGAGGGUACCUCAGGAAUAAGCCACGGCUAACUACGUGCCAGCAGCCGCGGUAAUCCGUAGGUGGCAAGCGUUAUCCGGAUUUACUGGGUGUAAAGGGCGUGUAGGCGGGACUGCAAGUCAGAGGUGAAAACCACGGGCUCAACCUGUGGCCUGCAUUUGAAACUGUCAGUCUUGAGUACUGGAGAGGUAGACGGAAUUCCUAGUGUAGCGGUGAAAUGCGUAGAUAUUAGGAGGAACACCAGUGGCGAAGGCGGUAUGCUGGACAGAAACUGACGCUGAGGCGCGAAAGCGUGGGGAGCAAACAGGAUUAGAUACCCUUGUAGUC
RNAcentral lists this ribosomal RNA (443 nucleotides) under uncultured bacterium. RNAcentral's name for it is "partial 16S ribosomal RNA". It matches the Rfam family "Bacterial small subunit ribosomal RNA", at positions 338 to 795 of the family's 1533-position model. The record is from RNAcentral.